RNAcentral lists this signal recognition particle RNA (98 nucleotides) under Sphingomonas sp. RNAcentral's name for it is "signal recognition particle sRNA small type". It matches the Rfam family "Bacterial small signal recognition particle RNA". Rfam says of the family: The signal recognition particle (SRP) is a universally conserved ribonucleoprotein involved in the co-translational targeting of proteins to membranes. The record is from RNAcentral. RNAcentral also lists the same sequence under 8 other names. Lineage: Bacteria; Pseudomonadati; Pseudomonadota; Alphaproteobacteria; Sphingomonadales; Sphingomonadaceae.
GGCGGGAGUCGGGCGGACGUAGUCAUCGCCAACCCGGUCAGGUCCUGACGGAAGCAGCCGCAACGAUUUCGCUGCGGGUCGUCCCGGCUCCCACCUUU